Molecule: long non-coding RNA, 459 nt
Organism: Medicago truncatula (barrel medic)
Lineage: Eukaryota; Viridiplantae; Streptophyta; Magnoliopsida; Fabales; Fabaceae
Exons: 2
Source: RefSeq, a predicted model, not a curated record
CAAGACUCUUUAUACUCCAUUAUAUAAAGUAAUAGAGUUUUUUUUCUUUUUUUGUUACAUGCACAUGAAAAUAAAAAUGACCAAGAUUCUCAAAUUUUUUUAUGCUAUGAUCAUUUUACUUUCUCUAUUUCUUGCUGCAAUUGACGCAGACGUUGUUAAUUGCACUUCUGUCCUCCAGUGUUUUACUACUUAUUGUUACCUUCAUGGAACAAUGUUAUGCUUAAACGGUCAAUGUUUAUGCGUUUAAUAGUUAAGUCGAAAAUAAUUCUAUAUUUUCUAAUAUUAUAAUUUUGUUUGCAUAUCGUAGUGAAUGUUGUUGUUACUCAUGUGAAUUCUCUCACACUUUUAGUUAUAUUUCUCUAAACUUUUAAUCUCUUUGUCCGAACAAAUAGAACAACACGAGAGAAAUGUUUUAGUCACAAAUAGUUGUUCUAUAUAUUUUCCAAUAUAAUUAAAUAA